UUCUUUCCCCCGAGUUACUAUGCUGAGCAAUGUUUGGAGGGCCACAAAUCUGACACAGACAGUAGUUUGUUACCAUAGUAUGAUAGUUUAUGAGGGCCAUGUUGAACAGCAGGAGUUAAUCAAUGGAUGGCGUCCAGAAGUGGCCUGUUUACAAUGAUGCAAUAUUAUGCUGACAAUGGAUUAGCUGUAGAUAGGGCGUAUUAAACAAAUGAGCCUAGUAACAUUUUAGUAGUACUUAGCUUUACAAUCUGUCAUUGUGUAAACUGCUGAUUUGGAAGCCCACCAAGUUCCUUCCCGAGUUUUUUUAAUCUGCAGUGCAUCACAGCAAAGGCCAAACUACAGUUCUGCAAUAGAAUUUUUGAAAAACGGCAGCUGAAGGGAUUCUGACAUUAACAGUUUAUCAACCUUUUUAACAGAACCCUGGAUUAGGAAAGGUAUAUUCUCUUACCAACUAUGUUAUCAAAAUGAUUUUGCUUUUUGAAGCAGAGGUUUUGCUGCAGCAACAGGGCUGGAGGAGUUCUACAUGUGCUGCCAAGGAAGGAAAUGCUGUCAAGGAAUUGCUACAGUCUGUCUGUUGGUAGCAGACAUACCCUGCCAACAAGGUGACAAGCAGAGAAAACUCCUUGGAAAAUCGCAUUGCAAGAGACCCAACCUAAACAGGCCACAGUUCUACAAAAACAAUAUCGUUCGGACUCUGCUGUGAUGCACUGCAGAUUAAAAGAACUAAUAUGGAUCUUGGAUCUUCGCAACACAUUUCUGGCAUCCAAGGGAUUAACUGUUGUGCAAAGGGAUUGCAAAUUGUGCAGCUUUCCAUUAUGGAAAGAUCCGAUAUCCAGAAAACCCCAGGUCCCGAUCAUUCUGGAUAAUGGAUCCUAUACCUGUAUUUCCCUUUAAUAGUAUACAGUGAAACUGUUCUGGGAAUAAAGAUCUUUCCAAUUUUAAUCUCCCUUUUUCUUCAAGAACUACGCAACACAUAACAUUUCUGGCAUCCAAGGGAUUAACUGUUGUGCAAAGAUGCAUGCCUACCAUCUCAUUGCUUAAAGAAGCCACCUAAUUACCUACCAAGGAAAGAAAAUUCCACAAAAUCAAUAAGGGGAGAAAUUAAAGUUACAAAUCUAACUGAAGCCAGACGGGAUCCCUUGUGAAAAUCUGUUCCUGGGGUAUCUGAGUUUAUCUAGUGUCAUAAUUUUAUUGAAAUCCUAUAUCUUCCUAUUGACUUUUAUGGUUUCCAGCUAGAUGCAAAGGUUAUCAUUAUUGGACGCUCAAUGCUGCUCUAAGGGACAGAAAGAGGGGCUUUUUCUACCCUGUUCUCUAAACAAGCUGUAAUUGCCUGUUUUAUUGAUCAAUAAAUCUCAAAGCUGCCUCCA
This is a long non-coding RNA of Xenopus laevis (African clawed frog), 1367 nucleotides long. RefSeq lists it as uncharacterized. Lineage: Eukaryota; Metazoa; Chordata; Amphibia; Anura; Pipidae. The record is from RefSeq and is a predicted model, not a curated record. The transcript has 3 exons.